Non-coding RNA from Coturnix japonica (Japanese quail), 771 nucleotides. NCBI's taxonomy places the organism in Eukaryota, Metazoa, Chordata, Aves, Galliformes, Phasianidae. The record is from RefSeq and is a predicted model, not a curated record.
AGGGACCGAGGGGCAGCUCCCACCUCAGCGCCUGACUCCAGUCGCUCUGGAUCCUCAGCGUCGCCGCCGCCAUCAUCUUGAGUCUACACCCCCCCCCUUCCUCUUCCGCCUUCCUCCUUCCUGUCAUAGGGCCCCACAGCAGGAACCAGAGCGAUGGCAAAGCCUGGACAUACCUGGAGCCGUCCUAAAUCACAGGAGGAAGAAGAGGAGGACCCGGUGGAGGCCAUGGUGUCGCGGACGGGCUGUGCAGAGCAGCACUGGGCGCUGCAGGAGUGCAUGGCGGAGCAGCGGGACUGGCGGCGCUGCCAGGCUCAGGUCCAGGCCUUCCGACAGUGCAUGGCCCGGCAGCAGCGCCCGCAGCCCAAGGAGCUGCACCCCAACCCACCUCAAUGCUCCCCCCAUGGAGAAUGAGACCCCCAGGACUGAACCCCAUAUUGGGACACCCUGACACCUCUAUCGGUGCCCCAAGGAUUCCGGCUGUGCUAUGGGACACGUUUCCUAUUAUUUUCCCUGUUAUUCUUUUUUAAAGCGGGUUGUUAUCUUGGUUCAAUCAUCUUAAUUUGAAGGCAGGAAAUUAAAUCUGAUGGCAUUUGUCCUCACAAAUGAAGAACUCCGCGUCAUUCUGCAAAGCACGGAGGGGAUUGGGAUUGCUGCAUCACGGCUGAAGCAGCAAAUGCUCACAAACCAAAGGCAAAACUGCCAAAAAUGGAGAACUCAGAAAAGUAAAACCAAAUUUCACCAUGGAGCCUUUUCAUUCACAGCGCAAACAAG